CUGGAAUGCAAUGGCUGGUGUGCUACUCAGAUGAGGGAGGUUUGGACACAGACACUCAGAGAGAAGAGCACCAUGAAAAAGCACAGAGGCACAGACACAUAGAGAAGACAGCCACGUGAUGACGAAGGCAGAGAUUGGGGUGAUGCUUCUAGAAGACAAAGAAUGUCAAGGAUUGCUGGGCAACCACCAGAGGCCAGAAAGAGUUGUCUGACCCACGGAAGCCUCC
This 226-nucleotide long non-coding RNA is filed under the name Pan troglodytes (chimpanzee). RNAcentral's name for it is "long non-coding RNA NONPTRT012419". Lineage: Eukaryota; Metazoa; Chordata; Mammalia; Primates; Hominidae. The record is from RNAcentral.